Molecule: ribosomal RNA, 468 nt
Filed under: uncultured bacterium
Lineage: Bacteria
Description: bacterial SSU rRNA
Rfam family: Bacterial small subunit ribosomal RNA
Source: RNAcentral
ACUCCUACGGGAGGCAGCAGUGGGAAUAUUGGACAAUGGGGGCAACCCUGAUCCAGCCAUGCCGCGUGUAUGAAGAAGGCCCUCGGGUUGUAAAGUACUUUCAGUGGUGAGGAAGGUUGCGUGGUUAAUACCCACGUAAUUUGACGUUAGCCACAGAAGAAGCACCGGCUAACUCCGUGCCAGCAGCCGCGGUAAUACGGAGGGUGCGAGCGUUAUCCGGAUUUAUUGGGUUUAAAGGGUCCGUAGGCGGAUUAAUAAGUCAGUGGUGAAAUCCCAUCGCUUAACGAUGGAACUGCCAUUGAUACUGUUAGUCUUGAAUGGGGUGCAGUGGUUGGAAUGUGUAGUGUAGCGUGAAAUGCAUAGAUAUUACACAGAACACCGAUUGCGAAGGCAGAUCACUAACCCUAAAUUGACGCUGAGGGACGAAAGCGUGGGGAGCGAACAGGAUUAGAUACCCUGUAGGCUCUG